Erinaceus europaeus (western European hedgehog) is the source of this 330-nucleotide unclassified non-coding RNA. Its record names the gene 7SK. It matches the Rfam family "7SK RNA". From Rfam's summary of the family: 7SK was discovered as an abundant small nuclear RNA in the mid-70s but a possible function has only recently been suggested. Lineage: Eukaryota; Metazoa; Chordata; Mammalia; Eulipotyphla; Erinaceidae. The record is from Ensembl.
GGAGAUGAGGGUGAUCUGGCUGCAACAUCUGUCACCCCAUUGAUCACAAAGGUUGAUGCUGCUGACCUGGCUGGCAAGGCGGGUGUCCCCUUCCUCCCUCAUUGCUCCAUGUAAGUCCUUCCCAAAGCUGCAUGCUCAGUCAAAGAGGAUGACCGGCCUUCCUGGAAUAGAGAAGAACUGGUCUUCCAGGGAGGGUAUAAGAGUAGCUGCCCUACCCUGAUAGAACCUCCAAACAAACUCUCAUUUCCUGAGUAAGAGGAGAUUAUAAUUGAAGUGUUAAUGGUUUAUAGUACAGUUGUUGACACAUAGAUACAGUAUCUUAUCUUCCCA